UCGUCAAUAUUCUUUGGCUCAAUCAAUGAUACAUAACAUGCAAAUUCACAUUGUAGCUGACUUCUUGUUCGCACACCAACAUUAGGAUCCCCAAUUACGUUCGAUAAAGGAUGAUCUCUUGUUUCUGUUAGGGAUGUAGUCUCGGGAGUUACGCUAGGGAUUUCAGAUGAAGUUCUUUGAGGCUCAGAUGAAUCAUUUGAUGCAACAUUUUCAGAAG
This 217-nucleotide long non-coding RNA is filed under the name Ananas comosus (pineapple). RNAcentral describes it as "long non-coding RNA (ACOM_LNC038922)". The record is from RNAcentral. Lineage: Eukaryota; Viridiplantae; Streptophyta; Magnoliopsida; Poales; Bromeliaceae.